RNAcentral lists this ribosomal RNA (253 nucleotides) under uncultured bacterium. RNAcentral's name for it is "partial 16S ribosomal RNA". It matches the Rfam family "Bacterial small subunit ribosomal RNA", at positions 524 to 776 of the family's 1533-position model. The record is from RNAcentral.
GACGAACCGUGCGAACGUUGUUCGGAAUCACUGGGCUUAAAGGGCGCGUAGGCGGGCGACCAAGUCAGGGGUGAAAUCCUCCGGCUCAACCGGAGAACAGCCUUUGAUACUGGUCACCUCGAGGGAGGUAGGGGCAUGUGGAACUUCCGGUGGAGCGGUGAAAUGCGUAGAUAUCGGAAGGAACGCCGGUGGCGAAAGCGACGUGCUGGACCUCUUCUGACGCUGAGGCGCGAAAGCUAGGGGAGCAAACAGG